RNAcentral lists this ribosomal RNA (429 nucleotides) under uncultured bacterium. Its description in RNAcentral is "bacterial SSU rRNA". It matches the Rfam family "Bacterial small subunit ribosomal RNA", at positions 355 to 776 of the family's 1533-position model. The record is from RNAcentral.
UGGGGAAUUUUGGACAAUGGGCGCAAGCCUGAUCCAGCCAUGCCGCGUGAGUGAAGAAGGCCUUCGGGUUGUAAAGCUCUUUCGCAAGGGAAGAAAACUUAGUUCUUAAUACGAGCUGAGGAUGACGGUACCUUGAUAAGAAGCACCGGCUAACUACGUGCCAGCAGCCGCGGUAAUACGUAGGGUGCGAGCGUUAAUCGGAAUUACUGGGCGUAAAGCGUGCGCAGGCGGUUUGAUAAGUCAGAUGUGAAAGCCCCGGGCUCAACCUGGGAACUGCGUUUGAAACUGUCAGACUAGAGUGUGUCAGAGGGGGGUAGAAUUCCACGUGUAGCAGUGAAAUGCGUAGAGAUGUGGAGGAAUACCGAUGGCGAAGGCAGCCCCCUGGGAUAACACUGACGCUCAUGCACGAAAGCGUGGGGAGCAAACAGG